CAGAGAACCCUCGCCACCAUCAUCAAAAUCAAGUGUUCUUGCAUCAACAAAUGGGCAUGGCUCCCCUCUUCCGCUCGUUGCCUCUCCUCGUCCUCCUAGUCGCUCUGUCCAGCACCACAUUACCUUCCUCCCGUUCUACGUCCGUCGAUGGAGACCACCAUGACCUGCUGAUGCGGGGUAGGUUCCACCGAUGGAUGUCGCAUCAUGGCCGGACGUACCCGAGUGCCGCCGAGAAGCUGCGGCGGUUUGAGGCGUACCGUCGUAACAUGGACCUCAUCGACGCCUCCAACAGGGACGCCGAGAGGCUGGGCUAUGAGCUCGGUGAGAACGAGUUCACCGACCUUACGAACGAGGAGUUCAUGACACGGUAUGUAGGUGGAGCCAGUGCUGGUGGUGGUCUCAUCACUACUUUGGCCGGAGAUGUCGUGGAAGGGGUGGUAUCAUCCAAGAACACUGUCGAGGGGGACGGUAAUUUGACGAUGACCACCUCCGACCCUCCUCGGCAGUUCGACUGGAGGGAGCAUGGCGCUGUCACGCCUGCAAAGCAACAAGGGGCAUGCGGAUGCUGCUGGGCGUUUGCUGCGGCGGCGACGGUGGAGAGCUUGAACAAGAUAAAUGGCGGGGAGCUGGUGGACCUGUCGGUGCAGGAGCUGGUGGACUGCAGCACGGGUGUGUUCAGCUCGCCGUGCGGCUACGGGUGGCCCAAGAGCGCACUCUUCUUUCAUUAUCCUACAUGGCCAAGCGAGGCAGAUGCGAGGUGCACGACGCCGCCCAACGCAUCGGCAAGAUCACCGGCGUCCAGGACGUGCAGCCGGGGAGCAACGAGAACGCGCUGGCGCUGGCCGUGCUCAUGACGCCGGUGACCGUCCAGAUCGACGGGAGCGGCUCCGUGCUGCAGAACUACAAGUCCGGCGUGUACAAGGGGCCGUGCACCACCAGCCAGAACCACGUGGUGACGGUGGUCGGCUACGGGCUCACCGGCGCCGGAGAAGAGUACUGGAUCGCCAAGAACUCCUGGGGCCAGACGUGGGGCCAGAAGGGCUUCUUCUUCAUGCGUAGGGGAGCGGACGGGCCCCGCGGGCUGUGUGGCAUGGCCAUGUACGGUGCUUAUCCCGUCAUGUAGCUAGUAUUAUAUCAUGGUAUGCGCGCAACGUAAUGUGUUAUUAAAAUAAGAUGCAUCAAUGCAUGUGCGCGAUACAUGGAUGUGUGGACGAUGAUGCCACCGACACCAUCUACGCCAAAUUACUUUGGCACCGUAUUAUGAUGUGUAUGCUUUGUCAGGUGUGUAUUUUUGAAAUGUAAGUGCAAGUUCUUAAUAAUAAGUUAUAUACUAUCUAUCCUUCGUAA
RNA transcript from Hordeum vulgare subsp. vulgare (domesticated barley), 1347 nucleotides. It is a transcript of the gene named ervatamin-B-like, with no coding region annotated. The transcript is spliced from 2 exons. NCBI's taxonomy places the organism in Eukaryota, Viridiplantae, Streptophyta, Magnoliopsida, Poales, Poaceae. The record is from RefSeq and is a predicted model, not a curated record.